This 47-nucleotide ribosomal RNA is filed under the name Annulohypoxylon purpureopigmentum. RNAcentral describes it as "partial 28S ribosomal RNA". Lineage: Eukaryota; Fungi; Ascomycota; Sordariomycetes; Xylariales; Hypoxylaceae. The record is from RNAcentral.
GCUUAGCCCCGGAUUAGGUAGGAAUACCCGCUGAACUUAAGCAUAUC